GGGGUUGCAUGGUUCGUUUGAGCAAAUUUGCAUUGCCAAACUUGAGAUACUCUACACACGGCACUUGCUAGUAAAAAUGAACUGCGAAAGAACUUUUGCGUGUAAAAAACAGAAACGCAUCAACACCCCAAGACUAUGUUUAUACGGAGCAUUGCCAACCAGCUCUCUAAAUUAGUCCAUUUAUUUAUACACUAUUUUUAUUUCUACUAGUUCCACUUGUUGCCCAGUUGUACAUGUAGAUUCAGAACACCGCAAAAAUGCUUUCAAAAGUAAAAAAAGACUCAAACCAUCUCCGAUUGACCUUAAAUUUGCCAAAGGGAUUCCCUAGGAUAAAUAGAAGCUAUUCCCAAAAUAUCUUUCCUAGCAUACCAUCUUCUUUGGUCGUUUCUGGUGCUAGCAUACCUUCUAGUUAACAUAUCAUGUUACUUAUUGCAAUUAUCACUUGUCUUGCAGACAGGCAAUUGAAAAAGAGAAUUGAUCUUUUUUAUAGGCGAAGUGUUGAAGAUGGCUUUGGUGACGGAAAUGUCUUGUUAGCAUCAAGUAAGUGGCGACAUCACAACCCCUACAAGCUUGUGCCUUAAAACAAGAGGAUACAAGAAGUUGGAGUGCUUUUAUGAAGGCUUUUGCGAAUCACUUGAAGCGUUAGUACUUUUGUGAAUGAUUUUGUAAAGUGUUUGCAAAUAUGUGCAAAACAUAAUAACAUGUGUAGGUUUUGUGAAUGAUUUUGUUGUGGUGCUUGUUGAUGGUUUAUGUGAUGUGGAUCUAUCAUUAUGCAAUACUAAUUAAAUUUGUAUAUCUAUGUGAUUAUGUGUAUAAAAAUUGGUGAUUUGUGAUGCUUUUGUAUAUGUAACAGUUGUUGAAUGCUCAUUAAUGGUAUAUUAUCAUUAUUAACG
RNAcentral lists this long non-coding RNA (893 nucleotides) under Zea mays. Its description in RNAcentral is "long non-coding RNA NONZMAT001513". The record is from RNAcentral. Lineage: Eukaryota; Viridiplantae; Streptophyta; Magnoliopsida; Poales; Poaceae.